Molecule: ribosomal RNA, 403 nt
Filed under: bacterium
Lineage: Bacteria
Description: partial 16S ribosomal RNA
Rfam family: Bacterial small subunit ribosomal RNA
Source: RNAcentral
UGGGGAAUAUUGCACAAUGGGGGAAACCCUGAUGCAGCGACGCCGCGUGAACGAAGAAGGUAUUCGUAUCGUAAAGUUCUGUCCUAUGGGAAGAUAAUGACAGUACCAUAGAAGAAAGCUCCGGCUAAAUACGUGCCAGCAGCCGCGGUAAUACGUAUGGAGCGAGCGUUGUCCGGAAUUAUUGGGCGUAAAGGGUACGCAGGCGGUUUAAUAAGUCGAAUGUUAAAGAUCGGGGCUCAACCCCGCAAAGCAUUGGAAACUGAUAAACUUGAGUAGUGGAGAGGAAAGUGGAAUUCCUAGUGUAGUGGUGAAAUACGUAGAUAUUAGGAGGAAUACCAGUAGCGAAGGCGACUUUCUGGACACAAACUGACGCUGAGGUACGAAAGCGUUGGGAGCAAACAGG